RNAcentral lists this transfer RNA (52 nucleotides) under Trichuris sp. GHL-2013. RNAcentral's name for it is "tRNA-Ser". The record is from RNAcentral. Lineage: Eukaryota; Metazoa; Nematoda; Enoplea; Trichinellida; Trichuridae.
AGAAAAGAUUAUUAAGCUUCUAACUUAAUCCUUGGCUCAUCCCACUUUUCUU